RNAcentral lists this ribosomal RNA (468 nucleotides) under uncultured bacterium. RNAcentral's name for it is "partial 16S ribosomal RNA". It matches the Rfam family "Bacterial small subunit ribosomal RNA", at positions 28 to 507 of the family's 1533-position model. The record is from RNAcentral.
GAUGAACGCUGGCGGCGUGCUUAACACAUGCAAGUCGAACGGUGAAGGCGGAGCUUGCUCUGCUGGAUCAGUGGCGAACGGGUGAGUAACACGUGAGGAAUCUGCCCCUGACUCUGGGAUAAGCGCUGGAAACGGCGUCUAAUACUGGAUACGAGCUGCGAAGGCAUCUUCAGCAGCUGGAAAGAAUUUCGGUCAGGGAUGAGCUCGCGGCCUAUCAGCUUGUUGGUGAGGUAAUGGCUCACCAAGGCGUCGACGGGUAGCCGGCCUGAGAGGGUGACCGGCCACACUGGGACUGAGACACGGCCCAGACUCCUACGUGAGGCAGCAGUGGGGAAUAUUGCACGAUGGGCGAAAGCCUGAUGCAGCAACGCCGCGUGAGGGACGACGGCCUUCGGGUUGUAAACCUCUUUUGGCAGGGAAGAAGCGAAAGUGACGGUACCUGCAGAAAAAGCGCCGGCUAACUACGUG